Styela clava is the source of this 204-nucleotide non-coding RNA. NCBI's taxonomy places the organism in Eukaryota, Metazoa, Chordata, Ascidiacea, Stolidobranchia, Styelidae. The record is from RefSeq and is a predicted model, not a curated record.
AGAAUUAUUAAUUAGAUUAUAUUAACAAAAUGGACGAUGGUCCAAAGAAAGGAAAUAUUGGCGAAAAAGCUUUAGUGGAAUUAGAAUCAAGCGUAGAUGAACCCGAAUCUCAAAAACUCAGUGCAACACCACACAGAAGUCAGAUCAAAGAAAAAACAAAAGAGAAACCUGAUAAGAAACAAAAAUCAGCUCUUGAAGAAAAAC